GGAAGGACAUGGGGGUCUCAGGGGACACAGGAUGGCCAAAGAGAAAGCCUUGCUGUGGGAGCACCACCCCCUAGGAGCUCUGUGGGCUCCAGGAGAGGCGGGGAAGUGGGGAAGGGGUUGGGAGUCUGAAAACGGCCCCUCUGGGGUGGAACCAGAAGGCUCUGUGGGCAAGCUCAAGGCUCAGGGCUGACCCUGUGCCUCCUCCCGCCCAUCUGGGCUGCCUGUGCCCUGCAGGUCCCGGCUGAGACGCUGCCUCCCAAGAAGCCUCCUGGUGCGGGCUCCCCGCUGAGCUAGGCUUCCUCUGAAAAAGAUGAUGACAAAAAUGGUCAGAACCCAAAUAUGCUCUUCCCGAGGGCUCUACUCCAGGCAGACCCACAGGGCCCGGCUGUGGUAAAGAGGUCGGCGACCUCCGUUUCUCUAAUGUACGCUGGUGAGGCUCGCCUGGGCCACACACGUGAGGGAGCAGCUCGGGAGCACGUGAGUGGUGCUUCCCGACGUCCGUCAGCCGCCCGUGAGAGCCCGCCUCCGGGGACAGCCUUGCAGCAACGGUUUGGUGCAGUCAUUUGAAAAGGCAGCAGAGGUCCAGCGACAGGGCACCAGGUCCAUCAACAGUGAAACCACGCUGGGGACACGUAAGGCUGCUGCAACCGCAACCACCCUAGGCUCAACGACGUCACAGGGAGGCUGAUGGGAGAGGCUCGGACACCACGGAGUGCAGCCUCGCGCGCAGCCCACCUGCAGCUCCAGGCAGUGCCUCUGCUUCUCCGAGAUCUGGCUCUUCAGGGCCUGCUUCUCCUUCAACAGCUUCUCCAGCGACAGCGUGGCCCAGUCCAGCUGCAGCUCCUCGCAGCGAGCCUUGAG
RNAcentral lists this long non-coding RNA (861 nucleotides) under Homo sapiens (human). RNAcentral describes it as "HSALNT0395624". Lineage: Eukaryota; Metazoa; Chordata; Mammalia; Primates; Hominidae. The record is from RNAcentral.